UACGAAGGGGGCUAGCGUUGUUCGGAAUUACUGGGCGUAAAGCGUGCGCAAGCGGUUAUUCAAGUCAGAGGUGAAAGCCCCGGGCUCAACCCGGGAAUGGCCUUUGAGACUGGAUAGCUAGAGUGUGAGAGAGGUGAGUGGAAUUCCCAGUGUAGAGGUGAAAUUCGUAGAUAUUGGGAAGAACACCCGUGGCGAAGGCGGCUCACUGGCUCGCAACUGACGCUCAGGCACGACAGCGGGGGGAGCAAACAGG
RNAcentral lists this ribosomal RNA (253 nucleotides) under uncultured bacterium. Its description in RNAcentral is "partial 16S ribosomal RNA". It matches the Rfam family "Bacterial small subunit ribosomal RNA", at positions 524 to 776 of the family's 1533-position model. The record is from RNAcentral.